Molecule: long non-coding RNA, 399 nt
Organism: Vicia villosa (hairy vetch)
Lineage: Eukaryota; Viridiplantae; Streptophyta; Magnoliopsida; Fabales; Fabaceae
Exons: 2
Source: RefSeq, a predicted model, not a curated record
CGUUUUUUUCUGAAAUAUCUAAGCCCAUUGGGCUUUUGAAUUAAAGCCCUAUUCAUAUUUGUUAUCUAUUAGGGUUUCUAAUAUCCACUAUAAAACGUUGCUACCUUGUCACAUCUUAAUUCAGCUGCUAUCAACUAGGGUUCCGGCAAAUCGAAACACCGUUCACGAUGAGAGCCAAGUGGAAGAAGAAGCGUAUGAGGAGAUUGAAGAGGAAGCGCCGAAAGAUGAGACAGAGAUCUAAGUAGAGCGCCAUUCUCAGUCGAUUUCGGUUUUUUUUUCCUGUUUGUUUCUGUUGUCAGAUGGAACUUUUCAAUAAUUGUCUUUACUUUUGUUCUUGUUUUGAUACAUUGUUGGUUUUACUCCUUAACAAAAUUAGAUUUUGUUUAAACUGUUAUUUCA